Molecule: unclassified non-coding RNA, 281 nt
Filed under: Metapochonia bulbillosa
Lineage: Eukaryota; Fungi; Ascomycota; Sordariomycetes; Hypocreales; Clavicipitaceae
Description: sequence contains 5.8S rRNA gene
Rfam family: 5.8S ribosomal RNA (bases 1-53)
Source: RNAcentral
GAACGCACAUUGCGCCCGCCAGUAUUCUGGCGGGCAUGCCUGUUCGAGCGUCAUUUCAACCCUCAAGCCCCAGUGGCCUGGUGUUGGGGACCGGCGACCUCGCCCGGGGGAACACCCCCGGCGCGUCCGCCGCCCCCGAAAUGAAUUGGCGGCCCCGUCGCGGCCUCCUCUGCGUAGUAGCACAACCUCGCAGCGGGAGCGCGACGCGGCCACUGCCGUAAAACGCCCAACUUUUUUUAGAGUUGACCUCGGAUCAGGUAGGACUACCCGCUGAACUUAAG